Molecule: long non-coding RNA, 1123 nt
Organism: Columba livia (rock pigeon)
Lineage: Eukaryota; Metazoa; Chordata; Aves; Columbiformes; Columbidae
Exons: 3
Source: RefSeq, a predicted model, not a curated record
UCCUUCUCCCUUAUUGCAUUUUCCUGUGGGAGGUAAAAGGUCGGUUUUCAGGAAAACUUGAAAGUACUCAUCACACUCUCUACUUUUAAUUUCUUGUUCUAUAUUUAUUAUCUUUAAAGAAACGGAGGAACAUACAGCUUGCUCUAUCCACCUUUACAUUUGAGCUCUCUUCUAUUUUAAGAUCUUUCUUCAGGGUGUGGUUGGAUGUCAGAAAUGUGAAAGGGCAUCCUGAGGCCUCUGGGGAACAUACCAUGGGCAAGAACUAGGCAUGCAAUAGGGCCAGUCCCAGGUUGUGUCCAGGCUUAAGUAAUGGCUCAACUGCUCCCAUAAAGGGGAAGACAAAGACCUGAAAUGGAGCUCAGAAGAAGAUGCAUUAUCGUUUUAGCUACUGGAGGAAACAUCAAAACUGUAAUGAAAUGAAAUGUAAUGGUGUUAGAAGAGUGCCCAACCUGGAAGUAUUUUAAGGCUGGCUACAUGCAGCUGUACACUUCCAAAAGCUAAAACUACCCCUUCCAGAAAUGAGGAUGGGCUAUGUGGAGAUGACACCAUGAGAGAGCCAAGACAUUUGGAGGAGGAAAAAAGUGCAACCAAGAUUUCCCAAGAGACUGCACAGCUCCUGGGAAAGAGGACAAUGGCAGCUGCAAAAAACCCCAUACAUGCUAGAAGCUGUUUUAAACAACCAAAUGGGGAUUGUCAAGCAGCUAUUCAAUAGAGCUAGACUGAACUGCAGCCAGAACAUCACACACUUCUAAUACGAGCCUUUGAACAAAUGCUAAAAUACCUCAGUAUACAAAAUGCUGGAGUUUGUUUCCCUGCAACAUAAAAUAAAGUGAGUCUCUUAGUAAGUCUCCUCAUUUAUAUCUAAGACAAACACACCACUUAGUAUAGUGAGUCAAUCAUUUCUAAGAUAUUUAAACAGUGAUGUGUCACCCUGCUGUUCCAGGACCCACUCUGGAGCCCAUCAGAGUCAGCAGUAGGGUUUUACUGACUCAGGGAAGCUCUGAUUCAUAUGCUUCUUGAUUUAAUGCCUCUUUAAAAAGUUGACGGAGGGUUAGCUCAGCCACAAACAGAAAAUAUAGGGUUGCCUGGUGCAGCAGAAUGUUUCAGCUACUUAUUUUGUGAG